Molecule: ribosomal RNA, 353 nt
Filed under: Eukaryota sp.
Lineage: Eukaryota
Description: SSU rRNA
Rfam family: Eukaryotic small subunit ribosomal RNA
Source: RNAcentral
AGCGUUAACGAACGAGACCUUAACCUGCUAAAUAGCCCGGCUAGCUUUGGCUGGUCGCCGGCUUCUUAGAGGGACUAUCGGCUCAAGCCGAUGGAAGUUUGAGGCAAUAACAGGUCUGUGUUGCCCUUAGAUGUUCUGGGCCGCACGCGCGCUACACUGACAGAGCCAACGAGUCCUCUGCCUUGGCCGGAAGGCCUGGGUAAUCUUUUGAAACUUCAUCGUGCUGGGGAUAGUUCAUUGCAAUUAUUGAACUUCAACGAGGAAUUCCUAGUAAGCACAAGUCAUCAGCUUGUGCUGAUUACGUCCCUGCCCUUUGUACACACCGCCCGUCGCUAAUACCGAUUGAAUGGAUA